Molecule: long non-coding RNA, 1319 nt
Filed under: Homo sapiens (human)
Lineage: Eukaryota; Metazoa; Chordata; Mammalia; Primates; Hominidae
Description: novel transcript
Source: RNAcentral
GCGGCCCUAAGGUGCUGGCGGGCGUUUGGCGUUGCAGCUGUGUGGGCGCUGGUGCGUGCGAGUAGCGCUCGAAGAAACCCAAAGGCGUCGUGGGGCUGCCGUGUGCCCCAGAGAGCACUGCAGGCCGGGUAGGGGCUAAGGCUCCCCGCAGUCUUCUGUGUGUCGUCCAGUACGCAGUUGAAAUCGUUCUCCAACCUGGCCAGUCCUCCGAGGCCCUUCUCAGGCGACCAGACUCUGUUAACAGAGUCCAUUGCUAAAACUCCUCGUUAGUAUUUACCACUCCUCCAGUCUGUGUUUUGAAGCAGUGGUUUUCAACCACUGCCCGUUUUCAGAAGAAAUCAUCUCAAGCGUCCGUGUGCUGCUAGAAGCCGGGCCGGGAGGUCUUGGUGCCGGACUCCACCCUGCAGCCCUUCCCUUUCGCCACCGCCCUGUGCUUAGAGAAACCUUAGAGUGGAGCAAUGAGUCGCCCUUGACUGAGUAACUCUUCGGGGUCAACUUCUCCUUCCACGCCAAGGAAAGGAUUCCAGGGCGAUGUUUCUGGAAAUAGAGAUCUGACCAAGCCACUGCUCUGAGCAAUGCAAACCUGAAACUACUCCUGCCAAGAAACGAUUGCAGCUCUUCCCGGAAAAGUUAAAGCCUUUGAGAAACAAAGCUGAGGUUGAAAGUAUUAGUCCAUUUUAUAGAUGAAGAAAUGGAGGCCCAGAGAGAUCACGUGACUUAGCCAAGUCCACCAACUAAUAUUGGGAAGCUCAGCAGGGUCCUGGGGGCCCACAGGAAUGUGAAUAAACACGCUUGGAAAGUCUGCAGAAUUUCCAGUCCUAGCCUCCUGCUGGUGUGAACCUGGGCUCCUGUGCCUGGGACCCUGGGAGAUUUGGGAUUAAGCCUUAUUUUGCAUUGGGUUUAAUCUCAACAGACACCGAGGGGCACCUGGAGUCCCUGCAAAACCUUGUCUGGUAUCAGCUACCUAUCAGAGGAUGCAGAGGACAAGGGCCUAGGGGAUGCCAAAUUCCAGGGUCCAGAAAGAGCUUGGGAUAAAAUGAACAUCCAAGGGGAGGGCUUUGACCUGGGCUGAGUCUGCCUGUGCCGAGUCUGCCUGUGCCAUCCAACUGGAGUCUCAAGUCCUGAGGCAGGACGUCCAGAUGCCCCAGUGCAGGGUCCUCCUGAUCAACACCUGCUCCCCUGUACUCAUUAGCAACCUCACCCACCCUACUCUCAAAGCACACUUGGCUCUCAUAUCCAGGAGCUCUGCAUCUGUAGAUUCAGCAACAGCAGAUGGAAAAUAUUCAGAAAAUAAAUUGGACAGUUAUAUUUCUAUUGAA